GUGGGGAAUAUUGGGCAAUGGGCGAAAGCCUGACCCAGCAACGCCGCGUGAAGGAAGAAGGUUUUCGGAUUGUAAACUUCUGUCCUCAGGGAAGAAGGAAGUGACGGUACCUGAGGAGGAAGCCCCGUCUAACUACGUGCCAGCAGCCGCGGUAAUACGUAGGGGGCGAGCGUUGUCCGGAAUGACUGGGCGUAAAGGGCGCGUAGACGGCUGUCUAAGUCUGGAGUGAAAGUCCUGCUUUCAAGGUGGGAAUUGCUUUGGAGACUGGAUGGCUUGAGUGCGGAAGAGGUAAGUGGAAUUCCCAGUGUAGCGGUGAAAUGCGUAGAGAUUGGGAGGAACACCAGUGGCGAAGGCGACUUACUGGGCCGUAACUGACGUUGAUGCGCGAAAGCGUGGGGAGCGAACAGGAUUAGAUACCCUAGUAGUCC
Molecule: ribosomal RNA, 428 nt
Filed under: uncultured bacterium
Lineage: Bacteria
Description: partial 16S ribosomal RNA
Rfam family: Bacterial small subunit ribosomal RNA
Source: RNAcentral